UGCCAUUUUCCAAGUGACCACAAUUCUUUGUGGCCAUGCUGAAAUAAGGUGGCUCCCACAGCCCAGGAACAGUGAGGGAUGAUGUGGCUUGCCUUCCUUCCCCAACGUGAGGUCCAGAACUCUAGAGAUCUUCAAAAGAUCAGAGCCUGGAUAGCUCAAAGACAGAGCACUGUAAUUUAACACCAGCUGUCUGCAAUUAAAGUAAGAUCGAAUCUCGCCAGGCUCAAGGUUGACUCAGCCUUCCAUCCUUUCUAAGUCAUAACCUGAAGACUUUGUCAGCCAAACCAGGAAGUCUACGUAGACCUCAUGAACAAGAAGCCUGCUUUGGGUUCAGCCCUCCUUUCUCCAGACUGCAUUUCUCUGCUGCAGUCUAAUAGGAUCAACAAUAUAUUGUUUUGCCCCUGUGUCAUCACACUCAAAAGCAUCUGAAAGUACUACAAAUGAAUAGAAGUGUUUCAGAACUCUAAACCGCCUAUUGAUUCAUUACAGCCCUUCCAUCUGAAUAAAACUGAUUUUUUUCUCUCCUCGA
Molecule: non-coding RNA, 529 nt
Organism: Pantherophis guttatus
Lineage: Eukaryota; Metazoa; Chordata; Lepidosauria; Squamata; Colubridae
Source: RefSeq, a predicted model, not a curated record